RNAcentral lists this ribosomal RNA (253 nucleotides) under uncultured bacterium. Its description in RNAcentral is "partial 16S ribosomal RNA". It matches the Rfam family "Bacterial small subunit ribosomal RNA", at positions 524 to 776 of the family's 1533-position model. The record is from RNAcentral.
UACGUAGGUGGCAAGCGUUGUCCGGAAUUAUUGGGCGUAAAGCGCGCGCAGGCGGUCUUUUAAGUCUGAUGUGAAAGCCCCCGGCUCAACCGGGGAGGGUCAUUGGAAACUGGGAGACUUGAGUGCAGAAGAGAAGAGUGGAAUUCCACGUGUAGCGGUGAAAUGCGUAGAGAUGUGGAGGAACACCAGUGGCGAAGGCGACUCUUUGGUCUGUAACUGACGCUGAGGCGCGAAAGCGUGGGGAGCGAACAGG